GGAUUUCAAAUGUAAUAAUUUCCAAAUGUGGAGAUUCAGAUGUAGACAGUCAUAAGAUUUGUGAGGAAAGAGUCAGGAUUGUCUUACUCUAGGAUUAUUAUGCUUUUCUUUUUCUUUCUUUCUUUUUUUUUUUUUCUUCACAAAUAGCACUUUUUAUUUGACACUAACUGAAGUCUGAACUUUAAACAGAUUCUUGGACUGGUGGUUCAUAUCCAUCAGCUCGUUCAACUUUAGCACCUGUCUCGUCCCCAGUGGCUUUUCCAGAACUGCUGCCUUCACCAUGAAGCUCCAUGAGCUUUCCCAAUUCAAACUUGGGCUUCUUCAGCAUUUUAACUUUUCUAACAAAGACAUCAUGGAGAGGAUAAAUAGAUUGGCAAGCCUUUUCUAUGUCUUUUCCAAUGCUGUCUGGAAUCAAUUUAUUGACCACUUCUUACAAGUCAUUUGUCUGCACCUCUCGGGUCAUGAUUUCCAUCAUCUUCUUCCGGAUUUGGCGGACCUGUUGGUGCUGAGCAUAAGAGGUCUUCCGUAUCUGAUUGUUGCGUUUUUUAGUAAAACCAACACAGAACAGACAAAGCAAGUAACCAUCGGUAGUCUUGACAUCAACAUGAGCUUCAAUCAUUGUCUGCCACUUUUUGACCAUGGAACACAUUUUGUCAUGGGUAAGAUCCAUGCCAUGGAAGUUAGUCAGUCAGUUUUUGGCCUGAACAUCUUCAGUAAUCAGCUUGAAUUUUCUAAAUGCAACUUCAUCAUUCUGCAAAUCAGCAAGACUCACUUCAAACACACGACCCUUGAGACCAUCAGAUGCAAUUUUGGUUCCUUGGGUCCUGGUGCUUUCACAUCAUACCAAUCUUUCUUAGAAAAUGGAUCAACCACUUUCUUCUUAGCUCCCUUUUUGCCGCCUUUCGUAAGGCGCUUGUUCUUGCCAACCGCCAUGGUGCUGAUCAGAGAGCCGAAAGGCUCUAGGAUUAUUAUGCUUUUCUACCACACUUACUGCCAUGUCAGUUUCUUUAGAAUAUUAUUAGUCACCAACUUAUCAAAAUUUGAUAGGUAUCUGAGGUUUCAGAAUCUCUAUUAGGUCAUUCAUAAAGAACAAUAUUAAUUCUUGAUUCUACAGAUAAUCU
This 1121-nucleotide long non-coding RNA is filed under the name Macaca mulatta (Rhesus monkey). Its description in RNAcentral is "lncRNA (ENSMMUG00000056916.1)". The record is from RNAcentral. Lineage: Eukaryota; Metazoa; Chordata; Mammalia; Primates; Cercopithecidae.